This 530-nucleotide long non-coding RNA is filed under the name Bos indicus x Bos taurus (hybrid cattle). RNAcentral's name for it is "lncRNA (ENSBIXG00000028784.1)". The record is from RNAcentral. Lineage: Eukaryota; Metazoa; Chordata; Mammalia; Artiodactyla; Bovidae.
AUGAAACAGUUCUGUCCUGGGAUGUACCACCGAGGGGUAGCGGAAAGACCACCCACUCUGGAAGGUACCAUUGGGAGAGGGCGUGUGACAACAGAGAGGGUCCCCUUACACCGCGUCGGGCAUGGACCGCAGUUCCCAGCAGCGGCACUCAUGGCGCCACUAGGUCCAUCCCCACUCGCUCCUCUUGGUCUUCCCACUGCUUUUGAAUCCGAGUGGACACAGGACCAGCAGCCCAGUGUUGAGCAACCUCAACAAGAGGAACCGCCAGCUGAGAUUCAGGAUAUCACACCUGGGAAGGAGGAAGUAAAUGGAGAGGAUCCGGUGAAUCAUAAUGAAGAGAAGGAGGAUGCCUCUGGAGGUAAAGUAGUCUGAUUCUGGAAACUGAUCUCCAGGAAUUGGCUGAGGCAAAGACUGGGGGUAAGGUGGAGAUGGUCCCAAUGUCAGGGAGGAGGUUGCAUCAAAUACAGAGCCUGUUGAAAUGCCAGAAGCAGGUAUGUCAUCCAUUCAGAAAGUAAUUUAUGUGGUUUCUU